GGUUAAGUGACUAAGCGUAGACGGUGGAUGCCUUGGCAGUCAGAGGCGAUGAAGGACGUACUAACCUGCGAAAAGCGAUGGUGAGCUGGUAAGAAGCAUUUGAGCCAUCGAUGUCCGAAUGGGGAAACCCACCUGCAUAAGCAGGUAUCUUAGCGUGAAUACAUAGCGCUAAGAGGCGAACUCGGGGAACUGAAACAUCUAAGUACCCGAAGGAAAAGAAAUCAAUUGAGAUUCCGGCAGUAGCGGCGAGCGAACCCGGAGCAGCCCUUAAGCGGCUUAGGCGUUAGGUGAACAGGUUGGAAAACCUGGCAAUAAAGGGUGAUAGCCCCGUAACCGACGGCGCCUUAGACGUGAAAACGAGUAGGACGGGACACGUGAUAUCUUGUCUGAACAUGGGGGGACC
This 403-nucleotide non-coding RNA is filed under the name Salinivibrio sp. KP-1. RNAcentral's name for it is "Bacterial large subunit ribosomal RNA". It matches the Rfam family "Bacterial large subunit ribosomal RNA", at positions 1 to 454 of the family's 2925-position model. Lineage: Bacteria; Pseudomonadati; Pseudomonadota; Gammaproteobacteria; Vibrionales; Vibrionaceae. The record is from Rfam by way of RNAcentral.